RNAcentral lists this unclassified non-coding RNA (389 nucleotides) under uncultured fungus. RNAcentral describes it as "partial contains small subunit ribosomal RNA, internal transcribed spacer 1, and 5.8S ribosomal RNA". The stretch from base 1 to 73 matches the Rfam family "Eukaryotic small subunit ribosomal RNA", at positions 1759 to 1831 of the family's 1831-position model. The record is from RNAcentral. Lineage: Eukaryota; Fungi.
GCAAACUUGGUCAUUUAGAGGAAGUAAAAGUCGUAACAAGGUUUCUGUAGGUGAACCUGCAGAAGGAUCAUUAGUGAAGAUUCAAGGGCCAGCCAUACAGACGUACAAUAAGUGUGUCUCUGGCGGCUCGCAUCCACUAUACAUCCAUAAACCCGUGUGCACUGUUCUAAGGAGUAAGAAAGAAGAAGAAGGGGGAGGGAGAGAGAGUGCAUGUGCUUUGCAUAUAACUCUCUCACUCUCCACUCUCUUUCUCUCUCUCUCCGGUUAAUUACAAACUCGUAUGGAUUUGUAUGAACGUGAGAUAUAUCGUUGGACCGUCACUGGCCAACAAAUAUAACACAACUUUCGACAACGGAUCUCUUGGUUCUCCCAUCGAUGAAGAACGCAGC